This 18-nucleotide unclassified non-coding RNA is filed under the name Mus musculus (house mouse). RNAcentral's name for it is "oocyte_clustered_small_RNA5453". Lineage: Eukaryota; Metazoa; Chordata; Mammalia; Rodentia; Muridae. The record is from RNAcentral.
CUAUCUGUGUAAAUGUUG